UACGUAGGGGGCAAGCGUUUGUCCGGAUUUAUUGGGCGUAAAGAGCGUGUAGGCGGUUUGGUAGGUCCGCUGUGAAAACUCGAGCUCAACCUCGAGACGCCGGUGGAAACCAUCAGACUAGAGUCCGGAAGAGGAGAGUGGAAUUCCUGGUGUAGCGGUGAAAUGCGCAGAUAUCAGGAGGAACACCGGUGGCGAAGGCGGGUCUCUGGGGCAGUAACUGACGCUGAGGAGCGAAAGCCGUGGGGGAGCGAACAGG
Molecule: ribosomal RNA, 256 nt
Filed under: uncultured bacterium
Lineage: Bacteria
Description: partial 16S ribosomal RNA
Rfam family: Bacterial small subunit ribosomal RNA
Source: RNAcentral